Molecule: non-coding RNA, 337 nt
Organism: Arabidopsis thaliana (thale cress)
Lineage: Eukaryota; Viridiplantae; Streptophyta; Magnoliopsida; Brassicales; Brassicaceae
Source: RefSeq
CGACCUUAAGUAUAAGUAGAUAUAUGGGGAUGUAACGCAUGUUGUUUUCUGCGGGAAGCAUUUGCACAUGUUUCGUGGAGAAUGAAAUCACAUUCCAUACAUGAAUAAUAAUUACCUUUUAGAUAGAACAUCGUACUGCUUGAAAAAACAUGUUAAUGUCAUAAACUUUAUGAUGAAAACACCUAUAAAAAGCGUUUUUUCAAGCAUGUGCUAUCUAUGAAGGUAAUUACUAUUCAUGUAUAAAAUAUGAUUUUAUCCUCCAUAAAACAUGUGCAAAUGCUUUCUACAGGAAACAAUAUACGUUGCAUCCCCAUCUACUUACACUUAAGGUCGUUGU